CACGUAGGGUGCGAGCGUUGUCCGGAAUUAUUGGGCGUAAAGAGCUCGUAGGCGGUGUGUCGCGUCGGCCGUGAAAACCUGCAGCUUAACUGUGGGCUUGCGGUCGAUACGGGCAUCACUGGAGUUCGGCAGGGGAGACUGGAAUUCCUGGUGUAGCGGUGAAAUGCGCAGAUAUCAGGAGGAACACCGAUGGCGAAGGCAGCUUACUGGGCCGAUACUGACGCUGAGGAGCGAAAGCGUGGGGAGCGAACAGG
RNAcentral lists this ribosomal RNA (254 nucleotides) under uncultured bacterium. Its description in RNAcentral is "partial 16S ribosomal RNA". It matches the Rfam family "Bacterial small subunit ribosomal RNA", at positions 524 to 776 of the family's 1533-position model. The record is from RNAcentral.